AUAAAUAAAUAAAUGCAGUAAAUAAAAAAAUCACAAUUUAUUUAUUAUAAACUAUUAUUUUACCAUAGUAAAAGAUACUAUAUGACACACAACCCAACACGUUGAUCUGAGAAUUUUGUACAAUGCUUAAGAAAGGAAAAAUACAGAAAUUAAAAUUUAACUUGAUCAACUUCCAAAUGGACUCAUCAAACUACACAACUAAAUUAAAACAUCUGACAUGUAUUCACCUAGACUUUCAGAUUCAAAUAUCUUAUUUAAGUGCUAAUAGAGUCCAAGAGGNNNN
RNAcentral lists this long non-coding RNA (283 nucleotides) under Olea europaea (common olive). Its description in RNAcentral is "long non-coding RNA (OEUR_LNC012931)". The record is from RNAcentral. Lineage: Eukaryota; Viridiplantae; Streptophyta; Magnoliopsida; Lamiales; Oleaceae.